RNAcentral lists this long non-coding RNA (2051 nucleotides) under Canis lupus familiaris (dog). Its description in RNAcentral is "lncRNA (ENSCAFG00000053484.1)". The record is from RNAcentral. Lineage: Eukaryota; Metazoa; Chordata; Mammalia; Carnivora; Canidae.
CCCCCAAAAGAAUCACAGUAAACUCAGAAGGAAGCAGUUUUUAAAUCCAUGAAUGUUUUUCUCAUAAUUCAUGGCCUCAGAUGACAGGUGAAUGUUUUAAACGCUUGAUGACAUUUAUGGUGAAAGUAUAAUUUUUUUUAUAAAAUUCUUUAUAAAAUCUGUUCUUCUGGGUAUUUGGCUUUUUAAUCUCUUUCCCUCUUUGCCCUUGCAAACUGUUGGAGCAAUUUGAAGAUAGUACAGGUGAUGAAGCGAUUGUGGACCUUCAUUUUUCAAGGACUAGUAGGAAAGAAUGAAGUGUUAAAUUAGAUGAUGUCCCAGAGUGUGGAAGAGAAGAUUACUAAAAAACUAAGAAAAAAGUGGAAUCCGAUUCAUUCAAAAGCAUAGCUGAGAGGGAAAGACACUGGAAAAUGUGAAAUGAGACUAGGGUCACCUUGAUCUUUUUAUCUUUACUUCAUUUUCUUAAGGUUAUAGAAAAGCAUCUUAGAAACGAAUCCACCAUUAAAAAGAAAGCCUGUCUUACUCAUGCUGGUCUCUCCCCAAGUUACCUUUACAGAGAAACGCCUCUAUGUAGAUACGUAGACUGAAUAGAUUAGCAGGGUGGAGGAACUAACAUUGAUUGAAACUUUGCACUUGCUUUGGGGUAGCACUCUGCUAAGUGUGUCGCACAUGCUGUCUUGAUUGAUCACCACUGCACCUCAGAAGGGAAGGACUCCAUUUUAUAAAUGAAAAAUUGAGAACUUCAGUAACUUACCCUAGAUCACAGUUUAGUGAGGAAUCCAAGAUUCAGUGUGUGUCAAUUCUAUGCCACCGGUGCCCAAUCUUGGCACCACUAUCCUUACUAACUUGAAAUUUUAAGUCACUCUUCUGAUGCCUUCUUGGGAGCCACACACACUUAGAAUAUGGGGAAUGAACGGAGGUUGACCUUAGAAGUCAAAGAAGACAACUGACCUAUUAAAUCUAUUAAAUGAAGACCCCUGCUGUUGUCAUAAUAACGUAUCUCCUAGAUUGUGGGUACAUCUUUUAGAUCUGAUGAGGUAUCUAUAGUUUUUAAGAUGUUUUCUUAAAAACACAGGGGCACCUGUGUGGCUCAGUCAGUUAAGCAUCCAAGUCUUGAUUUUGGCUCCGGUCAUGCUUGAUCUCAGGGUCCUGGGGUGGAGCCUUGCGUCAGGCUCUGUGCUGGGCAUGGAGCCUGGUAAAGGUUCUCUCCCUCUGCAACACCCCGCGUGUCCCACUUGCUCAGCUCUCUAAGAAAAAAACGUGAAGUAGCCUGUCAGUUUAUACCCGAGUUGAAAGGUGCUGGGCGGCAAGUCAGUGGUGGGAGGAGCAAAGGGGAUUAGAGUGACCAGGAUCGUGUGAAGAGAUGUACAGAGGAAGGACUGGGUGAACCUGACAUGCUUAAACUGACAGGCUCCAACUCUGCGUGAGCUCCGGGAUGAGGCGGCGGGGCCGCAGGCGGCGCUGACCUCUGGAGACGCGGUCCCGACCGAGGCGGCUGUGAGCAAGUACCACGAAACGGUCUCCCGGGGCCGGCGGACUCCACGGGUAGAGCUGGCGACGCCCGACCUCGGCCGUUAAGCUCAAGCCCCACUUGGGUGUGGAGAUUACUCAAAAAUAAAAUCCUUAAAAAAAAAAAAAAAAAGACUCAUUAAGUAGACCUUACUUUGGAGAUACUGGGUUAAAGGUACCCAUUGAAAUGUUUUACUUUUUAUGCCCCUGUCGGGGAUGCCUUGUGUUCCGGCGCGGACCGCGACCUGGGCAGCCCCGGACUCCGGGGCCACAGGGAUCAAUGACCACACAUUUGAACCACGCCGCCUUCCUGAGAAACAGCGUUCUUUUCUCUCAUACCGGUUCCUCCACUAAGAGCCGUGUCUCCCGCCCUAGCGGCUUCGAGUCCCGGUCCCCGCGCGGACGUCUCGGUUCCCGGCUCUGACCGCCGGGGCCGACGGGCACACCUGCGGGACGUCUGUAGAGACGAGGACCCCCGAAUAGGCCGCGGCCUUUCGGAGGAAGCUCCCGCGGGGGCGGCGGUGGGGGCGGCUCCGGCAGCUGGA